ACGGGUGUAGCUCAAUUGGUAGAGCAGCGGUCUCCAAAACCGCAGGUUGUGGGUUCGAUUCCUACCACCCGUG
Molecule: transfer RNA, 73 nt
Filed under: Candidatus Thermochlorobacter aerophilus
Lineage: Bacteria; Pseudomonadati; Chlorobiota; Chlorobiia; Chlorobiales; Candidatus Thermochlorobacteriaceae
Description: Candidatus Thermochlorobacter aerophilum tRNA-Trp
Rfam family: tRNA
About the family: Transfer RNA (tRNA) molecules are approximately 80 nucleotides in length.
Source: RNAcentral